This 667-nucleotide ribosomal RNA is filed under the name uncultured archaeon. RNAcentral's name for it is "bacterial SSU rRNA". It matches the Rfam family "Archaeal small subunit ribosomal RNA", at positions 99 to 754 of the family's 1478-position model. The record is from RNAcentral.
CGUGGUUAACCUGCCCUUGGGACGGAAACACCCCCGGGAAACUGGGGCUAAUUUCCGAUAGGUGAAGACUCCUGGAAUGGAUCUUCGCCUAAAGGGCGCUUAGGCCAUGCUUCUAAGCGCUGCCCAAGGAUGGGACCGCGGCCGAUCAGGUUGUUGGUGAGGUAAUGGCUCACCAAGCCUUUAACCGGUUCGGGCCGUGGGAGCGGGAGCCCGGAGAUGGGCACUGAGACAAGGGCCCAGGUCCUACGGGGCGCAGCAGUCGCGAAAACUCCGCAAUACGCGAAGGCGUGACGGGGCUAUCCCGAGUGCCGUCCGCUGAGGAUGGCUUUUCCCCAGUGUAGAUAGCUGGGGGAAUAAGGAGAGGGCAAGUCUGGUGUCAGCCGCCGCGGUAAUACCAGCUCUCCGAGUGGUGGGGACGUUUAUUGGGCCUAAAGCAUCCGUAGCCAGCUGAGCAAGUCCCCAGUUAAAUCCAGCGAUUUAAUCGUUGGACUGCUGGGGAUACUGUCCGGCUAGGGGGUGGGAGAGGCCGACGGUAUUCCCGGGGUAGGGUGAAUCCUAUAAUCCCGGGAGGACCACCAGUGGCGAACGCUGUUGGCUAAACAUGCCCGACGGUGAGGGAUGAAAGCUGGGGGAGCGACCGGAUUAGAUACCCGGGUAGUCCAGCUGU